GAUGAACGCUAGCUACAGGCUUAACACAUGCAAGUCGAGGGGAAACGACAUCGAAAGCUUGCUUUUGAUGGGCGUCGACCGGCGCACGGGUGAGUAACGCGUAUCCAACCUGCCCACCACUUGGGGAUAACCUUGCGAAAGUAAGACUAAUACUCAAUGACGUCUCUAGAAGACAUCUGAAAGAGAUUAAAGAUUUAUCGGUGAUGGAUGGGGAUGCGUCUGAUUAGCUUGUUGGCGGGGUAACGGCCCACCAAGGCGACGAUCAGUAGGGGUUCUGAGAGGAAGGUCCCCCACAUUGGGACUGAGACACGGUCCAGACACCUACGGGAGGCAGCAGUGAGGAAUAUUGGUCAAUGGACGAGAGUCUGAACCAGCCAAGUAGCGUGCAGGAUGACGGCCCUAUGGGUUGUAAACUGCUUUUAUAAGGGAAUAAAGUGAGUCUCGUGAGACUUUUUGCAUGUACCUUAUGAAUAAGGACCGGCUAAUUCCGUG
Molecule: ribosomal RNA, 492 nt
Filed under: uncultured bacterium
Lineage: Bacteria
Description: partial 16S ribosomal RNA
Rfam family: Bacterial small subunit ribosomal RNA
Source: RNAcentral